AUAAGUAAUGUGAAUUGCAGAUUUCAGUGAAUCAUCGAAUCUUUGAACGCACCUUGCGCCUUGUGGUAUUCCACAAGGCAUGCCCGUUUGAGUGUCAUUAAUUCAUCAACCUCAAUUCUUUUGAACUUUUGAGGCUUGGUUUUGAGGGUUUUUGCG
RNAcentral lists this ribosomal RNA (156 nucleotides) under Cristinia eichleri. Its description in RNAcentral is "5.8S ribosomal RNA". The stretch from base 1 to 97 matches the Rfam family "5.8S ribosomal RNA", at positions 58 to 154 of the family's 154-position model. From Rfam's summary of the family: 5.8S ribosomal RNA (5.8S rRNA) is a component of the large subunit of the eukaryotic ribosome. It is transcribed by RNA polymerase I as part of the 45S precursor that also contains 18S and 28S rRNA. The record is from RNAcentral. Lineage: Eukaryota; Fungi; Basidiomycota; Agaricomycetes; Agaricales; Stephanosporaceae.